CGGCUUAACUGUGAGCGUGCGGGCGAUACGGGCAGACUUGAGUACUGCAGGGGAGACUGGAAUUCCUGGUGUAGCGGUGGAAUGCGCAGAUAUCAGGAGGAACACCGGUGGCGAAGGCGGGUCUCUGGGCAGUAACUGACGCUGAGGAGCGAAAGCGUGGGGAGCGAACAGGAUUAGAUACCCUGGAUAGUCCACGCCGUAAACGGUGGGUACUUAGGUGUGGGUUUCCUUCCUUGGGAUCCGUGCCGUAGCUAACGCAUUAAGUACCCCGCCUGGGGAGUACGGCCGCAAGGCUAAAACUCAAAGAAAUUGACGGGGGCCCGCACAAGCGGCGGAGCAUGUGGAUUAAUUCGAUGCAACGCGAAGAACCUUACCUGGGUUUGACAUGCACAGGACGCCGGCAGAGAUGUCGGUUCCCUUGUGGCCUGUGUGCAGGUGGUGCAUGGCUGUCGUCAGCUCGUGUCGUGAGAUGUUGGGUUAAGUCCCGCAACGAGCGCAACCCUUGUCUCAUGUUGCCAGCGGGUAAUGCCGGGGACUCGUGAGAGACUGCCGGGGUCAACUCGGAGGAAGGUGGGGAUGACGUCAAGUCAUCAUGCCCCUUAUGUCCAGGGCUUCACACAUGCUACAAUGGCCGGUACAAAGGGCUGCGAUGCCGCGAGGUUAAGCGAAUCCUUUUAAAGCCGGUCUCAGUUCGGAUCGGGGUCUGCAACUCGACCCCGUGAAGUCGGAGUCGCUAGUAAUCGCAGAUCAGC
RNAcentral lists this ribosomal RNA (752 nucleotides) under uncultured Mycobacterium sp. RNAcentral's name for it is "bacterial SSU rRNA". It matches the Rfam family "Bacterial small subunit ribosomal RNA", at positions 605 to 1353 of the family's 1533-position model. The record is from RNAcentral. Lineage: Bacteria; Bacillati; Actinomycetota; Actinomycetes; Mycobacteriales; Mycobacteriaceae.